CGCACCUUGCGCUCCUUGGUAUUCCGAGGAGCAUGCCUGUUUGAGUGUCAUUAAAUUCUCAACUCCCUUUGAUUUCUUCAAAGGUGAGCUUGGACUGUGGAGGUCUGCCGGCUGCAAAGUCGGCUCCUCUGAAAUGCAUUGGUGAAGUCGCGUGCAUAUAAUCGGCCUUCGAUGUGAUAAUGAUCAUCGUGGCUGGCUUGCUUUAACGCUUUGCCUUACUUGUCUCCGUUCACGCGGAACACUUUGACCUUUUGGCCUCAAAUCAGGUAGGACUACCCGCUGAACUUAA
This 289-nucleotide unclassified non-coding RNA is filed under the name Coniophora arida. RNAcentral's name for it is "partial contains 5.8S ribosomal RNA, internal transcribed spacer 2, and large subunit ribosomal RNA". Lineage: Eukaryota; Fungi; Basidiomycota; Agaricomycetes; Boletales; Coniophoraceae. The record is from RNAcentral.